Molecule: unclassified non-coding RNA, 344 nt
Filed under: soil metagenome
Description: partial contains 5.8S ribosomal RNA, internal transcribed spacer 2, and large subunit ribosomal RNA
Rfam family: 5.8S ribosomal RNA (bases 1-120)
Source: RNAcentral
GAUGAAGAACGUAGUGAAACGCGAAAGGUAAUGCGAAUUGCAGAAUUCAGUGAAUCAUCGAGUCUUUGAACGCACAUUGCGCCCCCUGGUAUUCCGGGGGGCAUGCCUGUCCGAGCGUCAUUGCUGCCCUCAAGCACGGCUUGUGUGUUGGGCCUCCGUCCUCCUCCCGGGGGACGGGCCCGAAAGGCAGCGGCGGCACCGCGUCCGGUCCUCGAGCGUAUGGGGCUUCGUCACCCGCUCUUGUAGGCCCGGCCGGCGCUUGCCGACACAUCAAUCUUUUUUCCAGGUUGACCUCGGAUCAGGUAGGGAUACCCGCUGAACUUAAGCAUAUCAAUAAGGGAGGA